RNAcentral lists this ribosomal RNA (1306 nucleotides) under uncultured bacterium. RNAcentral describes it as "bacterial SSU rRNA". It matches the Rfam family "Bacterial small subunit ribosomal RNA", at positions 28 to 1381 of the family's 1533-position model. The record is from RNAcentral.
AACGUACGCUGGCGGCACGCCUAACACAUGCAAGUCGAACGAAGUAGCAAUACUUAGUGGCAGACGGGUGAGUAACAUGUAGGUAUCUGCCCUUUGGCCUGGAAUAACACGAGGAAACUUGUGCUAAUACCGGAUAAGUCUUUACGGAGAAAGCUUUAUGCACCAUUGGAUGAGCCUGCACUUGAUUAGUUUGUUGGUGGGGUAAUGGCCUACCAAGACUGUGAUCAAUAGCUGAUUUGAGAGGAUGAUCAGCCACAUUGGGACUGAGACACGGCCCAAACUCCUACGGGAGGCAGCAGUGGGGAAUCUUGCACAAUGGAGGAAACUCUGAUGCAGCGAUGCCGCGUGAGUGAAGAAGGCCCUUGGGUUGUAAAGCUCUUUCGUCGGGGAAGAAAAUGACUGUACCCGAAUAAGAAGGUCCGGCUAACUUCGUGCCAGCAGCCGCGGUAAUACGAAGGGACCUAGCGUAGUUCGGAAUUACUGGGCUUAAAGAGUUCGUAGGUGGUUGAAAAAGUUAGUGGUGAAAUCCCAGAGCUUAACUCUGGAACUGCCAUUAAAACUUUUCAGCUAGAGUAUGAUAGAGGAAAGCAGAAUUUCUAGUGUAGAGGUGAAAUUCGUAGAUAUUAGAAAGAAUACCAAUUGCGAAGGCAGCUUUCUGGAUCAUUACUGACACUGAGGAACGAAAGCAUGGGUAGCGAAGAGGAUUAGAUACCCUCGUAGUCCAUGCCGUAAACGAUGUGUGUUAGACGUUGGAAAUUUAUUUUCAGUGUCGCAGGGAAACCGAUAAACACACCGCCUGGGGAGUACGACCGCAAGGUUAAAACUCAAAUGAAUUGACGGGGACCCGCACAAGUAGUGGAGCAUGUGGUUUAAUUCGAAGAUACGCGCAGAACCUUACCAACACUUGACAUGUUCGUCGCAACUCUAAGAGAUUAGAGUUUUCGGUUCGGCCGGACGAAACACAGGUGCUGCAUGGCUGUCGUCAGCUCGUGUCGUGAGAUGUUGGGUUAAGUCCCGCAACGAGCGCAACCCUCACUUUUAGUUGCCAUCAUUAAGUUGGGCACUCUGAAAGAACUGCCAGUGAUAAGCUGGAGGAAGGUGGGGAUGACGUCAAGUCCUCAUGGCCCUUACGUGUUGGGCUACACACGUGCUACAAUGGUAUCUACAACAGGAAGCAAGACUGCGAAGUUAAGCAAAUCCCUAAAAGAUACCUCAGUUCGGAUUGCACUCUGCAACUCGAGUGCAUGAAGCUGGAAUUACUAGUAAUCGUGGAUCAGCGUGCCACGGUGAAUGCGUUCCCGGGUCU